UUAUCGGAUUUAUUGGGUUUAAAGGGUGCGUAGGCGGUUUGAUAAGUUAGAGGUGAAAUCCCGGGGCUUAACUCCGGAACUGCCUCUAAUACUGUUAGACUAGAGAGUAGUUGCGGUAGGCGGAAUGUAUGGUGUAGCGGUGAAAUGCUUAGAGAUCAUACAGAACACCGAUUGCGAAGGCAGCUUACCAAACUAUAUCUGACGUUGAGGCACGAAAGCGUGGGGAGCAAACAGGAUUAGAUACCCUGGUAGUCCACGCAGUAAACGAUGAUAACUCGUUGUCGGCGAUACACAGUCGGUGACUAAGCGAAAGCGAUAAGUUAUCCACCUGGGGAGUACGUUCGCAAGAAUGAAACUCAAAGGAAUUGACGGGGGCCCGCACAAGCGGAGGAACAUGUGGUUUAAUUGGAUGAUACGCGAGGAA
RNAcentral lists this ribosomal RNA (424 nucleotides) under uncultured bacterium. Its description in RNAcentral is "bacterial SSU rRNA". It matches the Rfam family "Bacterial small subunit ribosomal RNA", at positions 542 to 968 of the family's 1533-position model. The record is from RNAcentral.